RNAcentral lists this ribosomal RNA (256 nucleotides) under uncultured bacterium. RNAcentral describes it as "partial 16S ribosomal RNA". It matches the Rfam family "Bacterial small subunit ribosomal RNA", at positions 521 to 776 of the family's 1533-position model. The record is from RNAcentral.
UAAUACGAAGGGGGCAAGCGUUGUUCGGAUUUACUGGGCGUAAAGGGCGCGUAGGCGGAUCUUUAAGUCAGAGGUGAAAGCCCUGGGCUCAACCCGGGAAUUGCCUUUGAGACUGGGGAUCUUGAGUAUGGGAGAGGGUGGCGGAAUACCCAGUGUAGAGGUGAAAUUCGUAGAUAUUGGGUAGAACACCAGUGGCGAAGGCGGCCACCUGGCCCAUAACUGACGCUGAGGCGCGAAAGCGUGGGGAGCAAACAGG